UAAGGAAUAUUGGUCAAUGGACGCAAGUCUGAACCAGCCAUGCCGCGUGAAGGAUGAAGGCCCUCUGGGUUGUAAACUUCUUUUAUCUGGGAAGAAAUGCUUGUUUUUUAACGAGUUUGACGGUACCAGAGGAAUAAGCACCGGCUAACUCCGUGCCAGCAGCCGCGGUAAUACGGAGGGUGCAAGCGUUAUCCGGAUUCACUGGGUUUAAAGGGUGCGUAGGUGGGAAUGUAAGUCAGUGGUGAAAUCUCCGUGCUUAACAUGGAAACUGCCAUUGAUACUAUGUUUCUUGAAUUUUCUGGAGGUCAGCGGAAUAUGUCAUGUAGCGGUGAAAUGCUUAGAUAUGACAUAGAACACCAAUUGCGAAGGCAGCUGACUACAGGGAUAUUGACACUGAGGCACGAAAGCGUGGGGAUCAAACAGG
Molecule: ribosomal RNA, 424 nt
Filed under: Bacillota bacterium
Lineage: Bacteria; Bacillati; Bacillota
Description: Firmicutes bacterium partial 16S ribosomal RNA
Rfam family: Bacterial small subunit ribosomal RNA
Source: RNAcentral